This 273-nucleotide ribosomal RNA is filed under the name uncultured Eubacteriales bacterium. RNAcentral describes it as "uncultured Clostridiales bacterium partial 16S ribosomal RNA". It matches the Rfam family "Bacterial small subunit ribosomal RNA", at positions 55 to 339 of the family's 1533-position model. The record is from RNAcentral. Lineage: Bacteria; Bacillati; Bacillota; Clostridia; Eubacteriales.
AUUCAAGUCGAACGGGGCAGCAAUGCCUAGUGGCGGACGGGUGAGUAACGCGUGAGCAACCUGCCCUUGCUGGGGGAUACCAUCUGGAAACGGAUGUUAAUACCGCAUAAAGUACAGGCGACCGCAUGGUCGUAGUACCAAAGAUUUAUUGCGCAAGGAUGGGCUCGCGUCCCAUUAGAUAGUUGGUGAGGUAACGGCCCACCAAGUCAGCGAUGGGUAGCCGGACUGAGAGGUUGAACGGCCACAUUGGAACUGAGACACGGUCCAAACUCC